AUCCGUCAUGUGUUUAUUGCGUUGGAGUAAGUACACAAUGUAGAUAAUCUACCACGAGAUUGUCUAAUGUCUACUGGCAGAUGUAUCUACGAGUCUGACCCUUAAGUUUAUAUAGUGUUGGGAACAUAGCAUGAAAAUAAAAUAAAAUUCUAUGAAACACUCAAGAUCUAAUCUAGGAGUUGCAUACCAAGGAGAGGGGAAGGUGUGCCUAUGUACCCUCGUAGACCGUUAAGCGAAAAUGUAUACAACACGGUUGAUAUAAUCAUACCCUUCGCAACCCAAUCACGGUCCAAUCCGAUCUAUUGCCGAACAAACGACACCUCCGAGUCCAGCACACGUGUGCUCGAUGAUGUCUCCUCCUCCUUGAUCCAACAAGCGAGGGCGGAGAAGUAGAUGGAAUCAUGACCUGCAUGAUGGCAUGGUGGUGAUGGCGGCGGUGCAGCGCUGGCGGCUUCGCCAAGCAUCGUCGGGACAAAACCGAGGAGAAACGAGAGAGACAUGAGAGGGUUGACGCCAAGGGAGGG
RNAcentral lists this long non-coding RNA (524 nucleotides) under Hordeum vulgare. Its description in RNAcentral is "long non-coding RNA (HVUL_LNC005467)". Lineage: Eukaryota; Viridiplantae; Streptophyta; Magnoliopsida; Poales; Poaceae. The record is from RNAcentral.